CGCAUGGGCGCAGCCUGAUGCAGCAACGCCGCGUGAGGGACGACGGCCUUCGGGUUGUAAACCUCUUUUAGCAGGGAAGAAGCGAGAGUGACGGUACCUGCAGAAAAAGCACCGGCUAACUACGUGCCAGCAGCCGCGGUAAUACGUAGGGUGCAAGCGUUGUCCGGAAUUAUUGGGCGUAAAGAGCUCGUAGGCGGUUUGUCGCGUCUGCUGUGAAAUCCCGAGGCUCAACCUCGGGCUUGCAGUGGGUACGGGCAGACUAGAGUGCGGUAGGGGAGAUUGGAAUUCCUGGUGUAGCGGUGGAAUGCGCAAAUAUCAGGAGGAACACCGAUGGCGAAGGCAGAUCUCUGGGCCGUAACUGACGCUGAGGAGCGAAAGCAUGGGGAGCAAACAGGCUUAGAUACCCUGGUAGUCCAUGCCGUAAACGUUGGGAACUAGAUGUGGGGACCAUUCCACGGUCUCCGUGUCGUAGCUAACGCAUUAAGUUCCCCGCCUGGGGAGUACGGCCGCAAGGCUAAAACUCAAAGAAAAUUGACGGA
Molecule: ribosomal RNA, 539 nt
Filed under: Agrococcus baldri
Lineage: Bacteria; Bacillati; Actinomycetota; Actinomycetes; Micrococcales; Microbacteriaceae
Description: bacterial SSU rRNA
Rfam family: Bacterial small subunit ribosomal RNA
Source: RNAcentral